GUACUGUCAGUAGCCUUUUGUUUCUGAUUUCAGCUGUUAAUCCUUAUGUCCAUGAGGUUCAUCUGACAGACCCUCUGGUAGCUAUGAUGCCCACUAGACCCUGUGCCAAAGUGAUUUCCAAGUGGCAGAGAUUAUUCUGGGCUGGCAUCAUCAGAGGAGUGACACAGGAGCUCAGCCUUGAGUACUGAGAAAGGGUCACGUCAUGAUUCAAGAUGGAUAGUGGAAUGCCAGCUGUCUCAGCUGUAGGCUUGUAAAAGGAGAAAAUGCAGAAGUCAAAUAGAGAAAAUUUUAGGAAAUGAGUAUACAGCAAAUAAUUAGUGCUACCUCAAGAGAGUAUUAGGACUAUACUCAGAGAAGCAAGGAAAAAGAAGGCAUGGGAUAUUGGAAACUGUGAAUGUGAUUAAAAGGACAGGACAACUUGAGAAUCUGGAAAGGAGUCUAAUACCUCCAUUCUCAUCCCUGCAUGGAAGAAAAGAAGUCUUUUGGAGAAGGACUCUAACAAUACAUGCCUUAAAGUUACAAGAGGAGAAGCAAUUGGCAUUAGCAGAGAGUUUUCUUGUCUGGUAGAUAUUCUUACUGAACAAUGUGAAGAUCUAUCACCAUCCUCCAAGACAGAGUCAAGAAUAUAUGGUCAUUGCCAUGGUGACAUGAGGAGGCAGCAAGCAUAAUGGUGCUUGGAAUUUGAGGGGAG
Molecule: long non-coding RNA, 691 nt
Filed under: Macaca mulatta (Rhesus monkey)
Lineage: Eukaryota; Metazoa; Chordata; Mammalia; Primates; Cercopithecidae
Description: lncRNA (ENSMMUG00000065340.1)
Source: RNAcentral